GGUUGCUCAACUUAGGCUGGAGGGAACCCUCGGCUCCCGGGGAAGAUUUGUUUCUGUGGACGAUCGCCCUACUUACUAGGCGGUGCAGAUUCCCCGCUAGUUUUACACUCCACGGUGCUGAGCUGUUUUAAUCCUCUGCAGGGCGGGUAAAGCAGUACUUACUGAAAGCAUAUUUUAAAAUAUGUUUAAAAGUCUCAAGAGGAACAGCGCUCAUCUCAUCUGAGACAAGCCACUCACAGCUCUGAAGCUCACCAGUUAGGCUGGACUGCCUUGCCGACAAGCACCGGGCUCCUCCUCAGAGCUAGCAUUGUAAGGAGCUUCUGGCCAUCAGAUCCAGGUCCCAGAGCUUGAAAGGCACUAUCAACUGAGCCAUCACCCUAGCUCUCAUCAUACCCCCUAAUAAAAUCUAAACAGGCAGUACCAAUCAUAUUAGCUGGUCUACCAAA
This is a long non-coding RNA of Mastomys coucha (southern multimammate mouse), 446 nucleotides long. RefSeq lists it as uncharacterized. NCBI's taxonomy places the organism in Eukaryota, Metazoa, Chordata, Mammalia, Rodentia, Muridae. The transcript is spliced from 2 exons. The record is from RefSeq and is a predicted model, not a curated record.